RNAcentral lists this long non-coding RNA (1883 nucleotides) under Homo sapiens (human). RNAcentral describes it as "HSALNT0392699". Lineage: Eukaryota; Metazoa; Chordata; Mammalia; Primates; Hominidae. The record is from RNAcentral.
CCUAGAGAUGUCAAACUAGCACUCACAGCUAGUUAGCGGCAGAGCAUGGACGUAAUCUCUGGUCCUCUAGUUCUCCAGGCCUGCUAGCUGGCUUCUUUAGAGUAAUAAAGCCAGCAGUGAAUGCCUACACAGUACUUGUCAUGGGUCAAGAUCAGUAUUGUUUCAAGCACUUCACACAUAUUAACUCAUUAUUCCCACAACACCCUGUGAGGUGGGUCUUCCCAUUUACAGGUGAUGAAAUGGGAGCACUUAGAAAUUAAACAAGUGUGCCUAGCAUCAUACACCUAGCAAAUGGCAGGCUUCGGAUGUGAACCCAGAUUGCAACACCCCAGUGCCUCUUAACCACUAUGCCAAACGCCUGAACUCAGAUGCUGAUUUCCUCCUUUCUUAGUUUCAUUUUCUCACUGACGAAUAGAAAACUUUAAAUAGUUGUUACUGUCUUAAGCAUGCAUAGGAGUUUCACAUGGCUAGAUGCAAUGAACCUGGAGAUUUUCCCAAGAUUGCUUGCCAAAUGUUUCUGGAAACAGCAUGGUCGUUUCCACUUGGAACAACUCACUGUUGGAUGCUUAUAUUUCUUCCGCUGUCAACUUCAGUAACUUGGUCAGAAUGACGCCAGCUCUAGUCACAAAAUGAGCCUUUCAAUCAUAGAGAGACUGAAAGACUGAGACUGCAUUUAUUUCAGAAAGUGAUUGGUGCAGAGGUAUGAUGAUAUAUUUUCAGUGUGUCUAUCAAGAAGGUGGUGUUGAAAUAUCUGUGGCAAUAUUGGCAAGGAGUCAGUCUCUUGCUAUUUCACAAUGGCCUUAAUCCUAGUGAUGGCAAUUUCUUCUUGCAACAAAGAAAGACAGUGACACCAAAGGAGAAAUAUUCAAAGUGGGAUGAAAGGGGUUGACAUUAGAAAAGACUUCAUGGUGAUUGGAAAAAAAUGGAAAAAGAUUUUGAAAGCACUCCAUCACAGGGCACACUACAAUCACAAACUUCAUGCCUUACACAGUUUCCUUUCCUGUCAUACUAACUGUGCUUCUUCAACAUCUCCUGGGAACCAGAAGAAAGAGCAAGGUUUCCAAACACCAAUAGGUGAAUUCAAGCAACCCACAUCUAGAUGGAGCACCACUCAAUAAUGCUCAAAAGCCAGAUGAGAGACAACGUGCAAUUGCCUUAUCCCAAAUGGUUAACAGCUGUGUUCAAAUACUCCACCAAGGAGUUUGGCCAAGCAUGCAGCAAGAAACAGAUGGAAUAGAGUGCCUCAGUCAGUGCAGUAGAAAAGCCAUAGGAUUAAAAGGUCAGAAUUUUGGACACAACUCUGCCAGCAACUAACGUUGGCCUGGGCAAAUUUCUCAGGUUCUCCCUCUGUAGAAUGAAGACAUUGAAUAAGACUAAACAGGUGCGUUCUCUGUCAGGCUAAACUCCAAAGAAACUUAAUUCAAUUAUUUUUUCCCCAAAACCUCAAUUCCCUUGCCUCCCUUUUUCCCCCAUGCCUACCUGGCAAAGGCCCAACCCUCAAUCAUGCCAACUAUUUCUAAUCUCUGAACUACCAACUCCUGGACAACUGAGAACCACAGGAGAAAGUGGCACCACUGAGGUCAGUGCCUCACCAGAUCCCUAGCCAGCAGCCCACCCUCACUCAGCAAAGGCCCUGUCCUCAGUUUAGAGAAGUCAGGGAACUCCCUCAAGUCCCUCCUGGUUUGCUCUGCUGGCUCACUCCCAAUGCAUUAAUUGUUUUCCUCUUCCUGUCUCAGCAGAAAAGGAUCUUGCCCUAGAUGAUGCUUCAUUAUCAUUGCUCUACGAGAUAACUUUCUUCUCUUCUAUUUUAUCGGAAGAUUCCCUCAGCAUGAUAUAUUUAUAUCAUCUAUUUUUAAGAAAAAAAAAAAAAAAAAAAAAAAAAA